This 253-nucleotide unclassified non-coding RNA is filed under the name Archaeorhizomyces sp. RNAcentral describes it as "partial contains 5.8S ribosomal RNA, internal transcribed spacer 2, and large subunit ribosomal RNA". The stretch from base 1 to 67 matches the Rfam family "5.8S ribosomal RNA", at positions 84 to 154 of the family's 154-position model. Lineage: Eukaryota; Fungi; Ascomycota; Archaeorhizomycetes; Archaeorhizomycetales; Archaeorhizomycetaceae. The record is from RNAcentral.
GUGAAUCAUCGAAUCUUUGAACGCACAUUGCACCUCCCGCAGGGGAGGUAUGCCUGUCUGAGCGUCAUUGAAACCAAUAAACCCUCCUGGGUUUGUGCUGGGCUCUGCAUGAAUGUGCACUGCCUCAAAGUCAUGGUCUAACCUGCGGACGAGCUCCUCUUGGACCUGCCGUGGAACCGACCCUUCUCUCUGUAUUUGACCUCAGAUCAGGUAGGAAGACCGCCUGAACUUAAGCAUAUCAAUAAGCGGAGGA